This 24-nucleotide ribosomal RNA is filed under the name Mucor zychae var. zychae. RNAcentral's name for it is "partial 28S ribosomal RNA". Lineage: Eukaryota; Fungi; Mucoromycota; Mucoromycetes; Mucorales; Mucoraceae. The record is from RNAcentral.
AUCUGAAAUCAGGUGGGAAUACCC